Long non-coding RNA from Felis catus (domestic cat), 671 nucleotides. RefSeq lists it as uncharacterized. The transcript is spliced from 3 exons. Lineage: Eukaryota; Metazoa; Chordata; Mammalia; Carnivora; Felidae. The record is from RefSeq and is a predicted model, not a curated record.
ACACUAAAGGCCUAGAUGCUGCUCCCUCCAGCUGCCUCCCAUUUGUAUUUUACAGACUCUCCAAAUAACAAGCAUGAGCUCCAAAACUUCAACUUAAGGCUAGAGGCUGGGGGUAUUCCCCUUUGAGAUUAUUUUAAUUCAGCUCCACAUUUUAUAGAAGAAACUGAGAUGCAAAAAUAUGAGCUGGUUUAGAGGAAACUGAAGAAAUAGUAAUGAUCGUUGUAAUCACUGUCUUGGCUGAGAACUUCCUGUCUACAGACAAAGAGAACCCAUGAAAGUUUCAUUCUUGGAGAGAACAAAUGCAGAGGAAGAAGACUCUCAGCAGAUGACUCCAGUAGUUGUGUGUCCAGUGGUUCAGAGGGUGAAGAAACCAAAGGUAGGAAGGCAAGAACUCCUCCUGAAAGAAGGUUCACAUCAAAACCUGCAGCUUGAGAAGAACCUUGCAUUGUGGAGAGGCCUGGCCUCCUCCCACCCCCUUGCUUCCCUUGGUGUACCUACCAAGAAGUAGGCCUGUGGGGAAAAAACCUCAGAAGGUUACAGAGAACCACCUGGAAUGAUGACACAGAAUGAUGAGAAGGGAUGCUUGCAAGCUUUCUUUGAGGCAAGGUGUGCUUGAACUAGAUUCCAUUUAAAAUUUUUUUAAUUAAAAAAAAAGCCACUGUUUAAGUUGA